AUUGAACGCUGGCGGCAGGCCUAACACAUGCAAGUCGAGCGAGCGGCGGACGGGUGAGUAAUGUAUGGGGAUCUGCCUGAUGGAGGGGGAUAACUACUGGAAACGGUAGCUAAUACCGCUUACCAUAAGAUGAGCCCAAGUGGGAUUAGUUAGUUGGUGAGGUAAAGGCUUACCAAGGCGACGAUCCCUAGCUGGUCUGAGAGGAUGAUCAGCCACACUUGGACUGAGACACGGCCCAGACUCCGACGGGAGGCAGCAGUGGGGAAUAUUGCACAAUGGGCGCAAGCCUGAUGCAGCCAUGCCGCGUGUAUGAAGAAGUCCUUCGGGUUGUAAAGUUCUUUCGGUAGGGAAGCGUUAUCUACAGAAGAAGCACCGGCUAACUCCGUGCCAGCAGCCGCGGUAAUUC
This 406-nucleotide ribosomal RNA is filed under the name uncultured bacterium. RNAcentral's name for it is "partial 16S ribosomal RNA". It matches the Rfam family "Bacterial small subunit ribosomal RNA", at positions 30 to 526 of the family's 1533-position model. The record is from RNAcentral.